This 72-nucleotide transfer RNA is filed under the name Marmota monax (woodchuck). It matches the Rfam family "tRNA". Rfam says of the family: Transfer RNA (tRNA) molecules are approximately 80 nucleotides in length. Their secondary structure includes four short double-helical elements and three loops (D, anti-codon, and T loops). The record is from Rfam by way of RNAcentral. Lineage: Eukaryota; Metazoa; Chordata; Mammalia; Rodentia; Sciuridae.
GGGGUUGUGGCUCAGUGGUGGAGCACUUGCCUCACACGUAUGAGACACUGGGUUCGAUCCUCAGCAAUACAU